Non-coding RNA from Dermacentor albipictus, 988 nucleotides. Lineage: Eukaryota; Metazoa; Arthropoda; Arachnida; Ixodida; Ixodidae. The record is from RefSeq and is a predicted model, not a curated record.
AAGAACCAUAGAGACAGCUCUGGUCUCAUCUCCUGUCAGAUCAGCCUGUGGGCCAAAGUAUCCCUCGUCGCAGGUGCGUGUCAGGUCCUAGACGGUGGAGCUGCGGCCUGCGCCAACGGCAAGGCUACAGCGUGCCCUCUCGCCGCAGGCAAGUUCUGACACGUGCGGCGAGCGUCGACAGCGGCGGCCACGGCUUUCGAAGUUUUGCGUGUGGCGCGAGCACUCUCCCUCACCCGUGCACACGUUCCCAUGAGCGCGGAUGAACUCGUUCCGGGGCAAGUACCUGGUCAGGCGCGACGGCACCAUCAUCGCAGCCGCAUUGCGCUCCAAGCGCCUCAUCUGCCUCUACUUCGCGGCCCAGUGGUGUCCUCCCUGCGUGACCUUCACGCCAAUACUGGCCGACGCCUACCGCAAGGCCAAGAGCCAAGGACUGCCCGUCGAGGUAGUGUACGUGUCCUCUGACCGAAACGAGGACGAAAUGAACGACUUCCUGAACAGCACCAACGAAAACUGGCCUGCGCUUCCCUACGGUGACAACAUGCAGUUCGCCCUCAAGGCCCGGUACAAGAUCGCCGGCAUACCGACGCUGGUGGUACUCAGGGCCGACGGCAGGCUGGUGUGCGCCAACGGCAGGUCCCAAAUCGUGGCCAAGUCCCACCUGGCGUUCGCGGACUGGCUCUCCUCCUCCUGAAGAAAGGGCCAACAAAUAUAUGCGCCACGGAAUGGCCAACAUUACAGCGUCCAAUUUGUGCGGCUGUGACGAGACGACAGAGCACCCUCUGUGCCACUGUCCAUCCUUCGACGUUCGACGAUUUGCCCUGCAAGCUAUAGACUCGACCUCUUUGAUGACAGACCGCUCUAGGAAUAAACGGGUCCGUGUUCCUCGGCCACUGGCAUUCUGCCGUGGCCACACAAAGCCCUACUGCACUUUGCGAAGGCGAACGGACUGUACGAAUGCUUGUGGCUAUUACAGAAUAUUUCUCUGCGA